GACGAACGCUGGCGGCGUGCUUAACACAUGCAAGUCGAACGGAAAGGCCCCUUUGGGGGUACUCGAGUGGCGAACGGGUGAGUAACACGUGAGUAACCUGCCCUUGACUUCGGGAUAACUUCAGGAAACUGAGGCUAAUACCGGAUAGGAAUCCUUGCUGCAUGGUGGGGGUUGGAAAGCUUCGGCGGUUUUGGAUGGACUCGCGGCUUAUCAGCUUGUUGGUGGGGUAGUGGCUUACCAAGGCUUUGACGGGUAGCCGGCCUGAGAGGGCGACCGGCCACAUUGGGACUGAGAUACGGCCCAGACUCCUACGGGAGGCAGCAGUGGGGAAUAUUGCACAAUGGGCGGAAGCCUGAUGCAGCAACGCCGCGUGCGGGAUGACGGCCUUCGGGUUGUAAACCGCUUUCAGCAGGGGCGAAGCUUGUGGUGACGUUACCUGCAGAAGAAGCACCGGCUAACUACGUG
This 465-nucleotide ribosomal RNA is filed under the name uncultured bacterium. RNAcentral describes it as "partial 16S ribosomal RNA". It matches the Rfam family "Bacterial small subunit ribosomal RNA", at positions 28 to 507 of the family's 1533-position model. The record is from RNAcentral.